This 264-nucleotide ribosomal RNA is filed under the name uncultured bacterium. RNAcentral's name for it is "partial 16S ribosomal RNA". It matches the Rfam family "Bacterial small subunit ribosomal RNA", at positions 793 to 1055 of the family's 1533-position model. The record is from RNAcentral.
GUCCACGCCCUAAACGAUGUCAACUAGGUGUUGGGAGGGUAAACCUUUUAGUACCGGAGCUAACGCGUGAAGUUGACCGCCUGGGGAGUACGGCCGCAAGGUUAAACUCAAAGGAAUUGACGGGGACCCGCACAAGCGGUGGAUGAUGUGGAUUAAUUCGAUGCAACACGAAAACCUUAACCUACCCUUGACAUGUCCGGAAGCCCUUAGAGAUUUGGGUGUGCUCUAAAGAGAGCCGGAACACAGGUGCUGCAUGGCUGUCGU